This 262-nucleotide ribosomal RNA is filed under the name uncultured archaeon. RNAcentral describes it as "partial 16S ribosomal RNA". It matches the Rfam family "Archaeal small subunit ribosomal RNA", at positions 748 to 1008 of the family's 1478-position model. The record is from RNAcentral.
CAGCCGUAAACAAUGUGCGUUAGGUGUGUCGGUAACCACGCGUUACUGAUGCGCCGAAGAGGAAUCGUGAAACGCACCACCUGGGAAGUACGGUCGCAAGGCUGAAACUUAAAGGAAUUGGCGGGGGGAGCACCACAACAGGUGGAGCCUGCGGUUUAAUUGGAUUCAACGCCGGACAUCUCACCGGAUAAGACAGCUGAAUGAUUGUCAAUCUGAAGGUUUUACAUGACUAGCUGAGAGGAGGUGCAUGGCGUCAGUGACU